CUCUCCUUGGCAACUUUUCUUUCUUUCUAUAUUUGUAGCUUCAAUCUUUUCUUUCUACUUGUGCAUGUUUUACCCCCAUAUAAAUAUAAAAACAUUUGAGACAGAGAGAGGUGUUCUUUUUUUGUAUUAGAUUUGAUUCCAAAAGGUCAUAUUCAUAUCAAUGGCCAAGAUUUCUCGUCUUCUUGGAUCCACCAUUAAAGCAGCUAUCACAACCAAGGCUGGUUUCCAUGCAAAACAUAUUCCAGCUUUUAGCAGUUUACAGGAGCAUAUAGUUAAAACAACACCGGCAAGUUACAAUAGUACACAGGCAUCUUUGGAAAAUGAUGUUUCAGGAACUGAUAAAGGGUUUAAGGGUCAUGAUAUGUUGGCACCCUUCACUGCUGGGUGGCAAAGUACUGAUGUGGAUCCUUUGAUUAUAGAGAAGUCUGAGGGAUCCUACGUCUAUGACGAUAAAGGGAGGAAGUAUCUUGAUACUCUUGCUGGUUUGUGGUGCACAGCGUUAGGGGGAAACGAGCCUCGCCUUGUUGAUGCUGCCACUAAGCAAUUGAACACAUUGCCUUUUUACCAUUCAUUUUGGAAUCGUACUACAAAACCUUCAUUGGAUCUUGCAAAGGAGCUUCUGGAUAUGUUUACUGCUAAGAAAAUGGCAAAAGCUUUUUUCACAAAUAGUGGAUCAGAAGCCAAUGAUACCCAGGUGAAACUGGUUUGGUAUUACAACAAUGCCCUUGGAAGGCCAAACAAAAAGAAAUUUAUAGCUCGAGCAAAAGCAUAUCAUGGUUCAACUCUUAUCUCUGCCAGUCUCACUGGUCUUCCUGCAUUACAUCAAAAAUUUGAUCUUCCUGCUCCAUUUGUUCUGCACACUGACUGUCCUCAUUAUUGGCGCUAUCAUCUGCCAGGUGAGACGGAGGAGGAGUUCUCAACCAGGUUGGCUAAAAAUUUGGAAGAUCUUAUCCUCAAAGAGGGGCCUGAAACAAUAGCUGCUUUCAUUGCUGAACCAGUCAUGGGGGCAGGAGGUGUCAUACCUCCUCCAGCAACCUAUUUUGAUAAGAUCCAAGCUGUAGUGAAGAAAUAUGACAUUCUUUUCAUUGCGGAUGAGGUCAUCUGUGCCUUUGGGAGGCUUGGAACAAUGUUUGGCUGUGACAAGUAUAACAUCAAACCUGAUCUUGUCUCCUUAGCGAAGGCUCUUUCUUCUGCAUAUAUGCCAAUUGGAGCUGUCCUUGUAAGCCCUGAAGUUUCUGAUGUAAUAUAUUCUCAAAGCAAUAAACUUGGUUCUUUUUCCCAUGGAUUCACUUAUUCUGGGCAUCCUGUUGCAUGCGCGGUGGCAUUGGAAGCUCUUAAAAUCUACAAGGAACGAAAUAUGGUUGAGAAAGUAAAUAAAAUAUCCCCAAAGUUUCAAGAAGGUCUGAAGGCGUUUUCUGACAGUCCCAUAGUCGGAGAGAUUAGGGGAAACGGUUUGAUCCUUGCCACUGAGUUCGCGGAUAACAAAUCUCCUAAUGAUCCUUUCCCUCCUGAAUGGGGUAUUGGUACAUAUUUUGGAGCGCAGUGUCAGAAGAAUGGUAUGUUGGUACGUGUUGCUGGUGACACCAUCAUGAUGUCUCCUCCAUUUAUAGUGACUCCAGAAGAAGUUGAUGAGGUAAGCCUCCUUAAAAUGUGAGAUUUGUAAUGUUGAAAUUAAACAAGACAGAUUACCUGCUGCAACAUGGAAAGGUGGCCUAAUGUUGAUUAGCAUCUAUGGGAAAGCAUUGAGGGAGACUGAAAAGAGGGUAGAAGAACUCAAGUCCCAGAAGUAAUACAUUGCUGACCGCAAAAGCUUGAUGAUGGCGAAAAAAACAGAUUCAAAUUCAAGCACAAUAAAAAAAAUCAAACUAUCUUGGAUAUUCUGUAUAUGUCCAGAAUGGAGUAAGAAAUAUAAUUUUUAGUCCAAGUUGCUCGUCUCUUUCUUUGAAUUGUAAUUUUACUUGCAAGUAUAGUUCCAGCAGUUGACUCAUUAAUGAAGAUGACUAUUUCCUUUA
RNA transcript from Lycium ferocissimum, 2012 nucleotides. It is a transcript of the gene named gamma aminobutyrate transaminase 1, mitochondrial, with no coding region annotated. Lineage: Eukaryota; Viridiplantae; Streptophyta; Magnoliopsida; Solanales; Solanaceae. The transcript has 19 exons. The record is from RefSeq and is a predicted model, not a curated record.